This 119-nucleotide ribosomal RNA is filed under the name Pteropus alecto (black flying fox). The record is from RNAcentral. Lineage: Eukaryota; Metazoa; Chordata; Mammalia; Chiroptera; Pteropodidae.
GGCUACAGCCAUGCCACCCUGAACACUUCCAAUCUCAUCUGAUCUCGGAAGCUAAGCAGGCUCGAGCCUGGUUAGUACUUAGAUGGGAGACCACCUAGGAAGACCAGGUGCUGUAGGAG